CAUGAAGCUGGAAUCGCUAGUAAUCGCGAAUCAGAAUGUCGCGGUGAAUACGUUCCCGGGUCUUGUACACGCCGCCCGUCACACCAUGGGAGUCGGAAAUGCCCGAAGUCAGUGACCCAACCGUAAGGAGGGAGCUGCCGAAGGUGGAGCCGGUAACUGGGGUGAAGUCGUAACAAGGUAGC
Molecule: ribosomal RNA, 182 nt
Filed under: uncultured bacterium
Lineage: Bacteria
Description: partial 16S ribosomal RNA
Rfam family: Bacterial small subunit ribosomal RNA
Source: RNAcentral